AAACUGAUGACUAAACUAUGAUUAAAACUACUCACAAUCUUAUGGACGCACUAAAAACUAUGGAAAAGGAUGGGAAGGGAAUAGGAUGAUGGUGAGGGGAAAAGAGACGUCUCCCCCGAUUGGCUUUAUUACUGACUGAGGGGUGUGCAAGUGUGCCUCUGUGUAUCCUGUCUUUUUUUUAAAUUAUUAUUCUUGGAUUUUGUAGGGUGUGGAUAUUAUUUGCUCCAACUUGAGAAUCUUCUGGCCAAGACUGACACAGCUCUGGCAGCUAGAGGCGAGUGGAGCUCCCAAGGCCAGGACCAGUUCUUCAAAUGAUUGUUACAAACUUGAGGAACCAGCCUCUGUGCAGUUCAGACACUGAGGUCUUGAGUCACUCCAUGUUGGGCCUUUACCACGACCUGGUCACCGGUUCAAAGGACUUCCCUAUGAUUCAGGCCAAAGCGUUCCAUCGUGUUAGGUUGAUUACCACACCCUUUGGCAAGCUGGACGUGAGAGAGAACACCAGACCAAUGGAUGGACCAGAUGGCGUGAUGGUGCCUCCUGCAGGCUCCGGCUCUCCCCCUCCAAACAUGCAGACUCCAGUUCUUCCUGAGAGGACGGACCUUGCGACCCUGAUGGCCGACCGUGAUAACUACAUCACUGUCAUGAAGUUUGAUGAGCGAACUAUCAGCAGAGUCAUCUCCACUGUGUACGGCGCUGAUGGCACUGAGCUGGCGAACCGCUGGAGAGUAACCACCUACAGCCAGGAUGGACACCUUCUCAUGUCAGUCCUCUGUGGGUUUGUCAGAAAGUCAGCAAGGUAUGCGAAUACUCCACAGACACGGAAGAGGAGGAGGGAUUCAGAGGAAGAGAGCCAGUCUCCACCAAAGAAACACUUGAGACUGUGAGGAUCAUCAGAAGUGUUGAAGCUCUGAUCUAUCCAAUGUUGAUUCAGCAUAUGGCAGGUCAACCAUCUAGAUUAUUGUGAAGACUGGGGGCUGGUCUUUGGGUCUUGCAGGACCAGCGCCAAUCCAGUGGUCUUCUACUUUGGCACAUGUACCCACAAGAAGAACAUGUCUGACUGUGGUUACAUAUUGUACUAUAUAUAUAGGUCAUUCCAUCAUGGUGGAUGUACACAGGUCAGUGUUUUUGGUGCGUCUUGCACAUUUCUUUCUUUCUUGGAGCUGGCCUGUGAGUCCAACAUGGUGGCAACUUUGAGGGAGGUUUUGGGGACUGUGACUCUUCAAGAAAUUGGACUCAUCACCAAAUUCGGACUAAAGGUGAGGACGGAAAUAAAAGGAUUUAUUAUGCAGCAACUAUUUAAAAAAAAAUUAACAAUACAAAACAGCCAAAAGGACUCUAGAUCCACAAAAGAAAAUACAACAGGAUGAAACAAAGAGUCCUAAAGAAGAAGUAGGAAAACACAGGAACAAGAGCUUUUGGUGUGUCCUUUGAGGAUUCAGCAUCUGGCAGGUUAACCAGGUGGAAUAUCGUGACCCCUGAGGGCUGGUCUUUGCGUCUGGCAGGACCAGCACCCAUCCAGUGGUCUUCUACCUGGGCCCAUGUACACCUGCUGAGGGUGACAUAAUUUCAAUAGUUUAUUCCAUCAUGGUGGUGGUACACAGGUCAGUGUUUUUGGUGCGUCUUGCACCUUUCUUUAUUUCUUGGAGCUGGCCUGUGUGUCCAACAUGGUGGCAACUUCAAGGGAACUUUGGGAAUUGUGACUUUUUGUGAAUUAAUCUGGACUCAUCAGAAGCAGCAUUAGCCUCAAAUUUCACUUCAAGAAAGGAAUGAAAGGAUAUAUUACAAAACAACACAGAGACAACUACAAUACUCAUCCAACAAAGAGAAGAAGAGGAUGAGGACGAUGAGGCUGCUAGAAGAAUACAGAAACAACAAGAAAGAAGCUGGUGAUGAUGAUGUUAACCUGUCCUACACUCCUCUUCCAGCAAACUAGAGCAGCCAGUCAAAAAAUAAGAGGAGUCCAAUCAACAAGAAAAGAAACAGCAGACUUUGUGAUUCCAUUCAUUUAAAAAAAGAGAGGACGCUAAAAGACAUGAGGACACAUUGGUUCAAAGACAAGACGAGACCAGAGGCUUUAAACCAGGACAUCAUACUCAGUGACUCUAUUUAAAUACAAAUUAAAGACGAGCAGCCUUAGACGUCCCCCUGAUCUGCUGCACCAGCAUUCAUUGUAAACCAUAUUAAAAAAAAAAGAUGAGUAUAUACUUUUACAUCUGAUUUUGUCUUAAAACAUACUUGUAUUUAGAGGUAAAAAUAUCAAAAGUGAUAUGCACUGCACCUUUUUUCUGAAUUAUUGUUGUUCACACGCAUCUGUCUCAUAUGUCUUAGAAAAGCAAGGAAGCUCAGGAAGCUGAGUCCGUUCACAGACCAUUGACUAAGUUGUUAACUGAUGUUCUGCCUUUUCCGUUUGUAUUCAUUUUCAGCAAAGACAAGCAGUCUUAGAUGUCCCCCUGAACGGCUGCACAAGCAUUCAAUGUAAACCCACAUUUAAAAAAAGAACGUGGAAGAGAAGUCCAGUGACAGAAGGAAAGGAGACAGCAUGCAGUUCCCCCCACCCCCCAAUCUGCACCAGAUCAUGCAUUAUACUUCUGCUUUGGCAGUCAUGAAAUAAAUGGUUACACACUGUUCAUUUAAA
Molecule: long non-coding RNA, 2638 nt
Organism: Notolabrus celidotus (New Zealand spotty)
Lineage: Eukaryota; Metazoa; Chordata; Actinopteri; Labriformes; Labridae
Exons: 6
Source: RefSeq, a predicted model, not a curated record